This 236-nucleotide ribosomal RNA is filed under the name uncultured bacterium. Its description in RNAcentral is "partial 16S ribosomal RNA". It matches the Rfam family "Bacterial small subunit ribosomal RNA", at positions 99 to 334 of the family's 1533-position model. The record is from RNAcentral.
CGGACGGGUGAGUAACGCGUGGGUAACCUGCCUCACACUGGGGGAGUAACAGUUAGAAAUAGCUGCUAAUACCGCAUAAGCGCACGGUUCCGCAUGGAACAGUGUGAAAAACUCCGGUGGUGUGAGAUGGACCCGCGUCUGAUUAGCCAGUUGGCGGGGUAACGGCCCACCAAAGCGACGAUCAGUAGCCGGCCUGAGAGGGUGAACGGCCACAUUGGGACUGAGACACGGCCCAG